Quercus lobata is the source of this 2553-nucleotide long non-coding RNA. RefSeq lists it as uncharacterized. The transcript is spliced from 4 exons. Lineage: Eukaryota; Viridiplantae; Streptophyta; Magnoliopsida; Fagales; Fagaceae. The record is from RefSeq and is a predicted model, not a curated record.
AUGGCAAAUACUUAAGACAGCCAAUCAAAACCUCGCUUCUGCCAUGUUUAUAUAUCUCUCUCUCCAAUGGUUCCUGCCUUCACUGCUUACAACCUUGUGAGUUCUCUUUCUAAGCUCUUGACUCUCUUUUCUUGUCCCCAAGAGAUAGAUCUCAAACGUGUGCACAGCCCCUUUGUUUUAGCUCUCAGUUUCCUGCUCAGUUUUGUUGUUUAUUGCUUAUUUGUUUUCUCUAUAUUGCUGUACUCAGUGUUUUCCUUUUGGUUACUUCAUCUGGGUGUUUUUUUUUUCUCUGUUAAUUUUGUAUUUUUUUUUUGUUUUGUUGAUGCUCGAUCGAGUCUUCUUUUCUGUGACAAAAUCCGACUUGGAUUCUCUUUUACGCUGUUUUCUGAUGCCGGAAUCUAAUCGGAGAAAUUUGGCCCACAUAUCAAAAACUAUGAAUUUUGAAAGUAUUGUGUCUAUUAGCUACAUAGAUGGCUCAGUUUGAUUUUUCCAUGACUUGCAAAUAGUACUGCAAGAAAAAGAAAAAGAAAAGCUUUGAUGGGUUCAAAAAAAAAAAAAAAAUUAAGAAUAGGGUUUUGUUUUGUUCCAACAAGUCCUUAUUAUUCGAAAAUAAGUUUUGUUCCUAUGGUCGUGUACUCGUGUUGGACUCGGUAGAUUCUUCUCGGGUGCCCCUUUAAUGUAAUCAAAAAUCUUAAAAUCACUUUAUGUUCCAACCACUGGUAACUGGCCACGUCAGAUAAUGCCCGUGACCUUUGGGCCAAAGUUAUACAUGAAAUGAUCUGAUGAGACUUGAGAGUCAUAAAUUUUUCCGAGUCCUUUUUUUGUGUGUGUUUUUUCUUUUGUUGACGAAGGUCGUCCUAUGGAAAUGUUUGGUUGUAGUACUUUCUUCUUUGCUUUCCUUUUAUAUGUAUAGAAACAUACAUAGGUACAUAUAUACUGUUAUUGAUUAAUUAGUAGGCUUUGUACAAGGAUGAUCAUAGAUUGACAGUCGUUGUUUGCGGGUGUAGCAUCAUCAAGAUUCACAUGCAAAUGCACGGUGGGUGAUGCAAUUAAAAUUUUUUAAUUAAAAUCUCUCUGCCAAAAUUCUUUGAAAGUGAGAAUCUUGAUGAUGCUGCAUCGGCAAUAAACGACUCUACAAAAGAGGAUUCUCUCGCAAUACUCAACACUGCCACUUCUGCACCUGAACAGUUGAACCCACCAGGUGAUCCUUUCUUUCUUUUAACUACUUUUUUUUUUUGGCUAAGUGUGUUUCUAUUAAGUACUUUCUGUUGUUUUCUGUUGCUGUCAGGUGGGCUUUCUUUCUAGUUUCUGGGAGUUUUUUCCCCCCUUUUAAAUUAAAGCAAUCAAUCAAUGGAUUUACUGUAUUUUUAAAUGUUUAUUCUCUUUUGCACACUGCAUAUAUAGAAGAAAGAAUAGAACCUUGCUGUUCAAGGACCUUUUGUUUUGCUGACCUUUUGCAGAUCUGUGAUUAUUCUUCUGAGCAAAAUUUCCUAGCUAGGAUGAAAAUGGUAUCUUUUCAGGGAGUGUUUCCUGUUGAAGAUGGGACUUUGCCUCUAAAUGGAAAGAGAAAGAGAAUCUGACUUGAUGAUUCUGCAUGAACCUUCAGAAUAUUUUCAAAAGAAAGGCAAAGAAAAGUUAAGUGGAGCCGUGGAGGGAACUGUACCAAUCUCAUGAGUUUGCUAAGAAUGGAUUGGAAAAUUAUUUUUGUGCAGAAGCUGAGAAGAACUUAAGAUGAUUGAUGACUGGAACUAGUUUUUGGAUAUGCAAUGAAAAAUCACGGCCACGGGAAGUUAUUGUUUGUCACUGCCAUUGUUGGCUUUCUCCUCUCAUCACUCUUGUUGGUGGACCAGGCAUCCUGCAACUUGGACCCUUUGUCAUGUUGGAGGAUAAGGUUCGAGGGUUCAAGAUUCACUAUGUAAUCGUGUGUAGACCAAUCAAAAAAAAUUUGUAGUCUAGGAUUAAAUUUCAUCAAACACCUCCAAUUGUAGGGGUGAGAAAAUGAAUCAGGAUUGUUUAAAAAUCAAGGAAAAUGACUGAAUGCAAUCCUAGAGAUAAGUUACUCGAAAAGCAAGUACUUAUGGAAGAGCAAGCUAAUUGCCUCUGUAUGCGGUAAAUCACUAUCUUUUCUCAUUUUGCCUCCCCACCUAAACAUAUGUAGAUAUUAGGGCUAGGGAACUUUUUUUUUUUUUUAAUACUAGAUUAUAAUUGUCGUGGGCCAUUAUAUAUAUGUGCGUGUGUGUCUAUAUAUAUAUAUAUAUAUAUUGCCUCCCCAUGAUAUACUUCAUUGUGUUUGUUGAGAUUCUAAUCUAUACCAAUGCUGAAAAUGAAGGAGUUCGUACAUUCGCCUGGCAGUACUAAUUAUUACUUGAAAUGUACACUUAUUCUCCCAAUGAUAUAAGACUCACUCAACUGGUACCAUAAGAUGCUUUGUACUGAAAGUGAAAUUCAGUGAUUUUUCCUAUCAAGGGCCAUGUAGAUGUCAGUUUGAUAAGUAGCAAAAUGAGCCACAUAUCUGAGCUGCUCAUGCUAAGAACCAAUUUAUUCACUUAGGCU